This 447-nucleotide ribosomal RNA is filed under the name uncultured bacterium. RNAcentral's name for it is "partial 16S ribosomal RNA". It matches the Rfam family "Bacterial small subunit ribosomal RNA", at positions 28 to 523 of the family's 1533-position model. The record is from RNAcentral.
GACGAACGCUGGCGGCAGGCCUAACACAUGCAAGUCGAGCGCCCAGCAAUGGGAGCGGCAGACGGGUGAGUAACGCGUGGGGAUGUGCCCAAUGGUGCGGAAUAACCCAGGGAAACUUGGAUUAAUACCGCAUGUGCCCUUCGGGGGAAAGAUUUAUCGCCAUUGGAUCAACCCGCGUCUGAUUAGCUAGUUGGUGAGGUAAAGGCUCACCAAGGCGACGAUCAGUAGCUGGUCUGAGAGGGUGAUCAGCCACACUGGGACUGAGACACGGCCCAGACUCCGACGGGAGGCAGCAGUGGGGAAUAUUGGACAAUGGGCGCAAGCCUGAUCCAGCCAUGCCGCGUGAGUGAUGAAGGCCUUAGGGUUGUAAAGCUCUUUCGCCGGUGAAGAUAAUGACGGUAACCGGAGAAGAAGCCCCGGCUAACUUCGUGCCAGCCGCCGCUGUAA